UUUUUGGUUAGAAAAGGGGCGAGGAAGGGUUGUCAGACCCGGGAAGGGGCCCGAGGUUCCCGAUCUGCUGUGUGAGUCGUUGCAUGGUGGGGUUAUAGGAGACUCUGAGCCUGUUUUUCUAAGUUUCCACCCUUUGUUAGAAGCGGUUCAAUCCUGUUUGGGACCAGUUCUGGGGGGUGGCGAGGAGGGGCGCUCCUCCAGCUCCGCAGAUUGGCUGCACGCGUCAGGUGGUGGCGAUGACUUAAUUCCUAGACCGAGAAGAAUAUAGUGUUAGAGCCGGUUAUGUAAUUCUGAACUUCUCCUUUUUUAAUGCGAUGUUUAAGCUCUGGUGCGGGCUGUUCUCCAAAAGGAGAGCACAUUUUUUAACCUUCGUUUCCAAUCUUCAAUGAGGCACAUGCCUGAGGACGAGCUCGGGGAGCCAAAGCAAGUGUAGAGAGAAGGGAUGCUUUCGGCCACAGCGUUGUUAAUGCACGGAUGGUGUUUUUUAAAUAUUAAGAUGAAAUCAGUUCUUUCCUUAGGGUUUCAUUGCACACAGGCCAUUUGCAUCUUGACAUAUUUCUAGUUCAUCUCCCCAUGCAGUAACCCUGAUAAAGAAGCGCCAAUGUCUCAUGACAGUCGUCCUGUUUAUUGAAAAGCAUAGACAUGAGUUUGUCUGAACCUUUCUUGAUAUUAUGCAGCUUUUUAUAAAAUGGUGGGAAGAAACAAAGGUAGAGAUGAGACUGUAAGAUUAACGACUUAUGGGGACAAACACAAUUUUGUUAGCUGCUCCAUGAUUUCAUGGUAAAAUAAACUAUAGGCUUUUUUAACACCAAAGAAAUACCCCUGAGCCUCUGCAAAGUGCAGGCGAGCUCUGAGCCUGGAAUACUUUCAAUGACUUAAAGCCGGGGCCUCUCACACAAGCCUGGUGACGGAGGCCCCGCCCCCGGCGGGCCGCGAUAGGCGGAGCCGGGUUUGUUAGCCUGUUGCUAAGGCGAUGCCGGCCUCUGAUUGGAUUGGGCGCCGGCGGUGGGGAGAGUGGGGCGCGCCCGCGGGGGCGGGGCUUGGAACCGGCGUGCGCCGGUAAAGGGCUCUCCGGGGCGGCCCCCCGCCCCUGCUCGCGCCCCUCCCCGGGCUUUGGGAGGGUGCCCGCGUCUCCCGUCACCUUCUGUCUCACCACCGUGGCCUGUUUGGGGGCCCGGAAUACAUGACUUGGGGUGUCAGGAGAGUAGAUGCGAAAAGCUCCUGCUUAGCCUUUCCCAGUGCCGAGUGGCCCUGGGCGCAACUUGCGCUGCCAGUGCUCUUCGGAGGGGAGUUGGGUGGACAGGGUUCGCAGGAGCCCAUCUUCCUGUUUUUGGAGAGGAAGGCGUCCGAUACCUUCAGCGGACGCUCGUUUUCCUCUGAGCGAAUGCAAAGCCUGUCUACCGACAGGUAUAGACCGGCUCCCUUG
Molecule: long non-coding RNA, 1426 nt
Organism: Pipistrellus kuhlii (Kuhl's pipistrelle)
Lineage: Eukaryota; Metazoa; Chordata; Mammalia; Chiroptera; Vespertilionidae
Exons: 2
Source: RefSeq, a predicted model, not a curated record